Molecule: ribosomal RNA, 447 nt
Filed under: uncultured bacterium
Lineage: Bacteria
Description: bacterial SSU rRNA
Rfam family: Bacterial small subunit ribosomal RNA
Source: RNAcentral
UCCAGACUCCUACGGGAGGCAGCAGUGGGGAAUAUUGCACAAUGGGGGAAACCCUGAUGCAGCGACGCCGCGUGAAGGAAGAAGUAUUUCGGUAUGUAAACUUCUAUCAGCAGGGAAGAAAAUGACGGUACCUGACUAAGAAGCCCCGGCUAACUACGUGCCAGCAGCCGCGGUAAUACGUAGGGGGCAAGCGUUAUCCGGAUUCACUGGGUGUAAAGGGAGCGUAGACGGCCAUGCAAGCCUGGAGUGAAAGCCCGGGGCCCAACCCCGGGACUGCUCUGGGAACUGUGCGGCUGGAGUGCGGGAGGGGCAGGCGGAAUUCCUGGUGUAGCGGUGAAAUGCGUAGAUAUUAGGAGGAACACCAGUUGCGAAGGCGGCUCUCUGGACUGUAACUGACACCGAGGCACGAAAGCGUGGGGAGCAAACAGGAUUAGAUACCCCCGUAAC